CAAUGUCAUUUGCCCAUGGGGGGCAGAGUCCAUGUUUCCUGUCUGAACUUAUGUAUGAGUGUCUUCAAAAGGGCCCCUUACAAUGUAAAGGUUAAAACUGAAGAUAUUACAGAUGAAGAAACAAGGUCACAGUUGCAGCCGAUCUUACAGGCCCAGACUGAUUCACAACUACAAAAUGCAGUUGCACAGGCUGCUAGCUUAAUCAGACUUGCUGGUCACAAUGUACGCAUAACACUGGAAAACAAACAGGAGACUGCUUUGGAUCUGGCUCAUUGGUAUGUCCUUCAGCGGACCCGUGCACCAUUUGAAAGGUUCAGAGAUGGCUUAACGUCUCUGGGUGUCCUAGAUGCUCUCCAAAACUAUCCUGUUCAGUCAAAGUGCCUUUUUGUGAAGGCUGAAAAGGCCUUAACCUCAAAUGAUGUGGAGAAUCUCUUCCAAAUCAUUCAUUCCGAAAGAGGGAGUAAUGCAUUUCAAGCAGAGUGCCGGACCCUGGCUUUCUGGCAAGACUAUCUUCAGGAUGCU
Long non-coding RNA from Carassius carassius (crucian carp), 522 nucleotides. RefSeq lists it as uncharacterized. The transcript is spliced from 3 exons. The record is from RefSeq and is a predicted model, not a curated record. NCBI's taxonomy places the organism in Eukaryota, Metazoa, Chordata, Actinopteri, Cypriniformes, Cyprinidae.